Long non-coding RNA from Hyla sarda, 563 nucleotides. RefSeq lists it as uncharacterized. The record is from RefSeq and is a predicted model, not a curated record. NCBI's taxonomy places the organism in Eukaryota, Metazoa, Chordata, Amphibia, Anura, Hylidae. The transcript has 3 exons.
GAAUGUUUAAAAAUGAAUAGGUAGCGGUUUUCCAUGUCAUCGCACAUCAAGUGCAAGUUGUUUGUUGCGGAGAACAAAAUCUUUCGGAAGAUGAUAGAAAUAUGAAGUGUGCAUGCUGCCACUGGGGGUGCUCCGUAUGAACAGUUGUAUACAGCUAGUAUCGAGUAUAAACCAACCAGUUGAGUACCCAGCAUCGCCCGAUCUUCCAACCUAAACCUUGUGGGAAAGAUACAAGCCUGUCCAUCUGAAAGCUUACAAUAAACCACAUCAAAUUCUCGUGGACUCCAGCACUCGUCGUUCCGUUCUUUUGCACAUGUUUCAAUGACCCUGUUAAUUUCACCAAAGAUUAAAGUGUUUCUUGGCCUGCGCAGACAGUUCUCCUUCUUAUUAACAUAUCCCUUCAUGUAUUGUGUACAAUUUAUAAAUGUCUUACGACCUACUAUAUGCUUCCUUUUAAACUCACUAAAACUGUUCUCAGCCUGGUCUGAAUAAGAGCAUAAAACAGAACCCAGAAGAACGAUUCCCAAAGUGAUCAGUAAGAACUGCACAGGAGACAUAAUGCC